GGUUCACCUUCCUUAGCUUUGCCUUAACGACAUCGUUGGCUUUCGAAAUUCUCCUCUGAAUUCUCUCCAAUAUACUGGCUCCGUCACUCACCGACCAGGUAUGUAAGCCUUUCUUUCUCUCCUCUCCAAAUUCUUAGUUUCAAUUUCCUAUAUUUUCGAGAAACCAAACGGAGAAUUAGGGUUUAUAGAGAGAACACAUGGUGUGUCAUGACAUGCAUUCUGCCGACAAUUCGCGAUGCUUGUCAUGUCGUGGCCAACAUCGAUGUUUUGGCAUGCCACAAUGUAAGGGUUACCGUGUCAAGACAAGCCAUGACAUGCAUUUUUUUUAGCACUUUGACAUGUUAGCCCUCGCACCAUGGCACACCAAAACAUCAUUGUUGGCAGGCGUUACCCAGAAAGGAAAAACAAAGAUGCAUGGCAAUUCACCUUCCUCAGCUUUACCUUAAAGAUGUUGUUGGCUUUCGACAAUUCACCUUCCUCGGCUUUACCUUAACGACGUCGUUGGCUUUCAAAAUUUUCCUCCAAAUUCUCUCCGAUAAACCAGCUCCGUCACUCAUCAAUCAUGUACAUAAGCCUCUCUUUGUCUCAUUUCCAAAUACUUAGUUUCAAUUUCCCAAAUUUUCCGAGAAACCAAGUGGAGCAUUAGCGGUUAUAGAAAGAAUGCACGACAUGUCAUGACA
This 680-nucleotide long non-coding RNA is filed under the name Malus domestica (apple). RNAcentral's name for it is "long non-coding RNA (MDOM_LNC019117)". Lineage: Eukaryota; Viridiplantae; Streptophyta; Magnoliopsida; Rosales; Rosaceae. The record is from RNAcentral.